This 994-nucleotide long non-coding RNA is filed under the name Marmota monax (woodchuck). Lineage: Eukaryota; Metazoa; Chordata; Mammalia; Rodentia; Sciuridae. The record is from RNAcentral.
GUUCUAAUCCCAGCUCUGACUGGAAUUCUAACCCCUUUGCUUCUUGCCUUGUUUUUCGAGGUUGACCUGCUGACUUGCGAAGCUUGUUUGUCUUCCAUGUCCAGUGACUACAGAGGCCGAAUGGUUUAGGCAGAAGAGCUUGGGAUGACUUACUAACUGUAUAAUUAGACUACUUUUGAACUCCUCUUUUCUCCAUUUAUAAAAAAAAAAAUGGAGGUAAUAGCUUCUAUCUCAGAAUUUCAAGGUUGAGUUAGUGUGCCUGAGGAAGUGGUUAAUAAGACCUUGAUAGGGUGUAGUAGGAUUUUAUUUUUCACUUUUUAUAUUUGCUUGUUGUUUAAUUUCUUUAACCCUGUGGCUUUUAGGCUGGAGUCUGUGCUGAAACUAGCUCGUAGUGGCUUGCCAAAGCUGACUGUGUUCUUGCUUUUCCAACCUUCUAUUCAGUUGUAUCUCUUUCAUAGCCUGCAGUUGUCUUUAGAAUGCAUAUUUACACCAUGGGAUUUGGAAAAUGUAGAUCAAGGCUUUUUUCCUACCCAUGAAAAACUAGUUCUUAAAAAUUUUAGAACUUCUCUGAGCCUGACUUUUUAAUUUUAUUUAGGUUUGCUCUGAUUUCUCUGGAUUUUGAACAUAUUAGUCACUCAUGUAGCAAGUACUUGGUUCAAGUCUACUCUGCAAAAGAUCUACAGAUAGGUUGCCAGAUAAAAUGCAGGGUACUUAGCUAAAUUUUAAUUUCAGAUAAACAAUGUUCCGAUAAACAAUCUUAUAGUAUGUCUUAUGCAAAUUUUGGAUACAUUUAUACUAAAAAUGUAAUGUUUGUCUGAAAUUGACAUUUAACUGGUUUUCUUGUUUUUUGUUCUCUAAAAAAAUAAAAUAAAAAAUUUAAAAAUGGUCUAUGGCUGUGGAAAAUCUAGUCUUAAAAGAUACAGCUCUUGCCUCUCAGUUGCUUAUAGUAGAGAGUGCUGACUCAAAGAAAUUUGAAAAUAGAAGGUUAACUGGG